GACGAACGCUGGCGGCGUGCUUAACACAUGCAAGUCGAACGGUGAAGGGAUCAGCUUGCUGGUUCUGGAUGAGUGGCGAACGGGUGAGUAACACGUGAGUAACCUGCCCCCUUCUUUUGGAUAACCGCAUGAAAGUGUGGCUAAUACGGGAUAUUCUGCGCCUGCUGCAUGGUGGGUGUGGGAAAGAUAUUGUUUCGGUGGGUGAUGGGCUCGCGGCCUAUCAGGUUGUUGGUGGGGUGAUGGCCUCUCAAGGCGGUGACGUGAAGCCGGCCUGUGAUGGGGGACGGUCACACUGAGACUGAGACACGGCCCAGACUCCAACGGGAGGCAGCAGUGGGGAAUAUGACACAGUGGGCGCAAGCCUGAUGCGGCGACGCCGCGAGAGGGAUGGAGGCCUUCGGGUUGUGAACCUCUUGCGCCAGUGAAGCAGGCCUGUCCCUUGUGGGUGGGUUGACGGUAGCUGGAUAAGAAGCGCCGGCUAACUACGU
RNAcentral lists this ribosomal RNA (488 nucleotides) under uncultured bacterium. RNAcentral describes it as "partial 16S ribosomal RNA". It matches the Rfam family "Bacterial small subunit ribosomal RNA", at positions 28 to 506 of the family's 1533-position model. The record is from RNAcentral.